UCCAAACAGGGCCCAACCAGCAAUCUA
RNAcentral lists this small RNA (27 nucleotides) under Bombyx mori (domestic silkworm). Its description in RNAcentral is "ovarian small RNA-26445". The record is from RNAcentral. Lineage: Eukaryota; Metazoa; Arthropoda; Insecta; Lepidoptera; Bombycidae.